Molecule: ribosomal RNA, 405 nt
Filed under: uncultured bacterium
Lineage: Bacteria
Description: bacterial SSU rRNA
Rfam family: Bacterial small subunit ribosomal RNA
Source: RNAcentral
CUGAAGGAAUUUCAGAGAUGGAUUGGUGCCUUCGGGAACUCUGAGACAGGUGCUGCAUGGCUGUCGUCAGCUCGUGUUGUGAAAUGUUGGGUUAAGUCCCGCAACGAGCGCAACCCUUAUCCUUGUUUGCCAGCGAGUAAUGUCGGGAACUCCAGGGAGACUGCCGGUGAUAAACCGGAGGAAGGUGGGGACGACGUCAAGUCAUCAUGGCCCUUACGAGUAGGGCUACACACGUGCUACAAUGGCGCAUACAGAGGGCAGCCAACUUGCGAAAGUGAGCGAAUCCCAAAAAGUGCGUCGUAGUCCGGAUUGGAGUCUGCAACUCGACUCCAUGAAGUCGGAAUCGCUAGUAAUCGUGGAUCAAAAUGCCACGGUGAAUACGUUCCCGGGUCUUGUACACACCGA